RNAcentral lists this ribosomal RNA (1502 nucleotides) under Escherichia coli. Its description in RNAcentral is "partial 23S ribosomal RNA". It matches the Rfam family "Bacterial large subunit ribosomal RNA", at positions 1 to 1547 of the family's 2925-position model. Lineage: Bacteria; Pseudomonadati; Pseudomonadota; Gammaproteobacteria; Enterobacterales; Enterobacteriaceae. The record is from RNAcentral.
GUUAAGCGACUAAGCGUACACGGUGGAUGCCCUGGCAGUCAGAGGCGAUGAAGGACGUGCUAAUCUGCGAUAAGCGUCGGUAAGGUGAUAUGAACCGUUAUAACCGGCGAUUUCCGAAUGGGGAAACCCAGUGUGUUUCGACACACUAUCAUUAACUGAAUCCAUAGGUUAAUGAGGCGAACCGGGGGAACUGAAACAUCUAAGUACCCCGAGGAAAAGAAAUCAACCGAGAUUCCCCCAGUAGCGGCGAGCGAACGGGGAGCAGCCCAGAGCCUGAAUCAGUGUGUGUGUUAGUGGAAGCGUCUGGAAAGGCGCGCGAUACAGGGUGACAGCCCCGUACACAAAAAUGCACAUGCUGUGAGCUCGAUGAGUAGGGCGGGACACGUGGUAUCCUGUCUGAAUAUGGGGGGACCAUCCUCCAAGGCUAAAUACUCCUGACUGACCGAUAGUGAACCAGUACCGUGAGGGAAAGGCGAAAAGAACCCCGGCGAGGGGAGUGAAAAAGAACCUGAAACCGUGUACGUACAAGCAGUGGGAGCACGCUUAGGCGUGUGACUGCGUACCUUUUGUAUAAUGGGUCAGCGACUUAUAUUCUGUAGCAAGGUUAACCGAAUAGGGGAGCCGAAGGGAAACCGAGUCUUAACUGGGCGUUAAGUUGCAGGGUAUAGACCCGAAACCCGGUGAUCUAGCCAUGGGCAGGUUGAAGGUUGGGUAACACUAACUGGAGGACCGAACCGACUAAUGUUGAAAAAUUAGCGGAUGACUUGUGGCUGGGGGUGAAAGGCCAAUCAAACCGGGAGAUAGCUGGUUCUCCCCGAAAGCUAUUUAGGUAGCGCCUCGUGAAUUCAUCUCCGGGGGUAGAGCACUGUUUCGGCAAGGGGGUCAUCCCGACUUACCAACCCGAUGCAAACUGCGAAUACCGGAGAAUGUUAUCACGGGAGACACACGGCGGGUGCUAACGUCCGUCGUGAAGAGGGAAACAACCCAGACCGCCAGCUAAGGUCCCAAAGUCAUGGUUAAGUGGGAAACGAUGUGGGAAGGCCCAGACAGCCAGGAUGUUGGCUUAGAAGCAGCCAUCAUUUAAAGAAAGCGUAAUAGCUCACUGGUCGAGUCGGCCUGCGCGGAAGAUGUAACGGGGCUAAACCAUGCACCGAAGCUGCGGCAGCGACGCUUAUGCGUUGUUGGGUAGGGGAGCGUUCUGUAAGCCUGCGAAGGUGUGCUGUGAGGCAUGCUGGAGGUAUCAGAAGUGCGAAUGCUGACAUAAGUAACGAUAAAGCGGGUGAAAAGCCCGCUCGCCGGAAGACCAAGGGUUCCUGUCCAACGUUAAUCGGGGCAGGGUGAGUCGACCCCUAAGGCGAGGCCGAAAGGCGUAGUCGAUGGGAAACAGGUUAAUAUUCCUGUACUUGGUGUUACUGCGAAGGGGGGACGGAGAAGGCUAUGUUGGCCGGGCGACGGUUGUCCCGGUUUAAGCGUGUAGGCUGGUUUUCCAGGCAAAUCCGGAA